CUAAAGAUGGUAAUUAAAAAAAAAGGUUUUUAUCCUGGAAAACUGUCACGGUAGAUACAUGCUCCUUGAAUAAUGUGGUGUACCGCAGGGAUCAAUUUUAAGUCCGCUCUUUCUUACCCGUAUCAUCAGAAGUUAACAAAUAUAUUUAUUUUCAUUUUACCGUCACUCCUGUGUGUUAUUUUUUAUAACAUACAAUAUAAAUUGCUAUUUUUCCACCCAAGAGAUCCAUUUUAGUUGUAACGUUUUCAUUACCUCCCAGAUGUACAAUGAAAGCAGAAUUUUUCCUUUGUGCCUAAUGAAGCGUCUGGCGAGUAUUAGUAUUCGGGAUGCUGCAGGUGCUUCCUUUCACAGAUCAGAGACUUGAGCUGGAUGGAUGGCCACGAUCACGUCAGAGGCUUGGGCUCCACCCUCAGGCCAUGGAGAUGUAUGGACGGAUGCGCGUCACGUAACAACCUUCUUCACAUGACUCGGCAACAACCAAUUAAGGUGGUGUCCUUUAGAUGUCCGUUCCCACGUUGAUGAACAUGCGAGCAUGUAGCAGGAUAUUAAAAGGAUUUAAAGGGAAAAAAAAAAGACGGGCGGUCGCGUCACUGAUGAUUCACCUGGAGCCACGAGCAAGGCAAGCAACAAGAGGGAGUCAGCAUUGGCACAUAUUGCUCCACUCAUCAGUAUUCCGCUUCAUCACUCGUCGUUCCUCACGGCUCCGCGUCACCGAUGGAGGAGGAUUCCGUCGUCCGUGGCCUCUGUUGCCUCAUCGGAGCUGAUAAACACAGACCGUGCCGUUUAGUGCAUUGACAAACAAAGAACAUCAAAUUUUCAUCCAUUUUUUUGCGUAUGUAUGCAUUUUUGUUAUGGGGGUUCUUAGAGCUGUGAAAGAUGAUGCGUUACGAAUCUUAAUACAAUCCAAGGAUGCAUUCAUUUUAAAGUGUUAGUUUUGAAAAAAUAAAUAAAAACAACACUUAGCCUUUUCUCUGAAACGCUGGUGAAAGAUUAAUCGUGUCGUAAUUGACUCAUUCAGUACCAUUGACGGCUAUAGACGUCAAAUUGAGUUCAUGUCAGUAAGUUCAACUUGACUCAGAACUCACAAUAUGUAAGCCUUUGUGAAUAUCACCGGAGGCCAUUAUGAAUCCAACAAGCAUCAAUUUGAUCCGGUUUGA
Syngnathus acus (greater pipefish) is the source of this 1157-nucleotide long non-coding RNA. RefSeq lists it as uncharacterized. NCBI's taxonomy places the organism in Eukaryota, Metazoa, Chordata, Actinopteri, Syngnathiformes, Syngnathidae. The transcript has 3 exons. The record is from RefSeq and is a predicted model, not a curated record.